RNAcentral lists this ribosomal RNA (253 nucleotides) under uncultured bacterium. RNAcentral describes it as "partial 16S ribosomal RNA". It matches the Rfam family "Bacterial small subunit ribosomal RNA", at positions 524 to 776 of the family's 1533-position model. The record is from RNAcentral.
UACGUAGGGUUCGAGCGUUGUCCGGAUUUAUUGGGCGUAAAGGGCUCGUAGGCGGUUUGUCGCGUCUGCCGUGAAAGUCCGGGGCUCAACUCCGGAUCUGCGGUGGGUACGGGCAGACUAGAGUGAUGUAGGGGAGACUGGAAUUCCUGGUGUAGCGGUGAAAUGCGCAGAUAUCAGGAGGAACACCGAUGGCGAAGGCAGGUCUCUGGGCAUUAACUGACGCUGAGGAGCGAAAGCAUGGGGAGCGAACAGG